This 964-nucleotide ribosomal RNA is filed under the name Halomonas sp. SB21. Its description in RNAcentral is "bacterial SSU rRNA". It matches the Rfam family "Bacterial small subunit ribosomal RNA", at positions 61 to 1022 of the family's 1533-position model. Lineage: Bacteria; Pseudomonadati; Pseudomonadota; Gammaproteobacteria; Oceanospirillales; Halomonadaceae. The record is from RNAcentral.
GUCGAGCGGUAACAGGGGUAGCUUGCUACCCGCUGACGAGCGGCGGACGGGUGAGUAAUGCAUAGGAAUCUGCCCGAUAGUGGGGGAUAACCUGGGGAAACCCAGGCUAAUACCGCAUACGUCCUACGGGAGAAAGGGGGCUCCGGCUCCCGCUAUUGGAUGAGCCUAUGUCGGAUUAGCUAGUUGGUGAGGUAAUGGCUCACCAAGGCGACGAUCCGUAGCUGGUCUGAGAGGAUGAUCAGCCACAUCGGGACUGAGACACGGCCCGAACUCCUACGGGAGGCAGCAGUGGGGAAUAUUGGACAAUGGGCGAAAGCCUGAUCCAGCCAUGCCGCGUGUGUGAAGAAGGCCCUCGGGUUGUAAAGCACUUUCAGCGAGGAAGAACGCCUAGUGGUUAAUACCCAUUAGGAAAGACAUCACUCGCAGAAGAAGCACCGGCUAACUCCGUGCCAGCAGCCGCGGUAAUACGGAGGGUGCAAGCGUUAAUCGGAAUUACUGGGCGUAAAGCGCGCGUAGGUGGCUUGAUAAGCCGGUUGUGAAAGCCCCGGGCUCAACCUGGGAACGGCAUCCGGAACUGUCAAGCUAGAGUGCAGGAGAGGAAGGUAGAAUUCCCGGUGUAGCGGUGAAAUGCGUAGAGAUCGGGAGGAAUACCAGUGGCGAAGGCGGCCUUCUGGACUGACACUGACACUGAGGUGCGAAAGCGUGGGUAGCAAACAGGAUUAGAUACCCUGGUAGUCCACGCCGUAAACGAUGUCGACCAGCCGUUGGGUGCCUAGCGCACUUUGUGGCGAAGUUAACGCGAUAAGUCGACCGCCUGGGGAGUACGGCCGCAAGGUUAAAACUCAAAUGAAUUGACGGGGGCCCGCACAAGCGGUGGAGCAUGUGGUUUAAUUCGAUGCAACGCGAAGAACCUUACCUACUCUUGACAUCCUGCGAACUUGUGAGAGAUCACUUGGUGCCUUCG